RNAcentral lists this non-coding RNA (29 nucleotides) under Rattus norvegicus (Norway rat). Lineage: Eukaryota; Metazoa; Chordata; Mammalia; Rodentia; Muridae. The record is from RNAcentral.
UCUCUGUGUAGUCCUGGCUGUCUUGGAAA